Molecule: ribosomal RNA, 106 nt
Filed under: Zingiber officinale
Lineage: Eukaryota; Viridiplantae; Streptophyta; Magnoliopsida; Zingiberales; Zingiberaceae
Source: RNAcentral
GCGGUUGGCGGUUCACCGGAUCCCAUCAGAACUCCGAAGUUAAGCGUGCUUGGGCGAGAGCAGUACUAGGAUGGGUGACCCCCUGGGAAGUCCUCGUGUUGCACCU